GGAUGUCACUUUUAUCGACUAAAAGGAGGUAUUAUAUCGGAAAGCUAGAGGGCGAAUUUCGAAUGUUUUUAGGAUUGCGGGAGCGCAAAGUGCGGAGCAAUCCGUAGGUAUCA
This 113-nucleotide small RNA is filed under the name Muricomes intestini. Its description in RNAcentral is "Clostridiales-1 RNA". Lineage: Bacteria; Bacillati; Bacillota; Clostridia; Lachnospirales; Lachnospiraceae. The record is from RNAcentral.